This 253-nucleotide ribosomal RNA is filed under the name uncultured bacterium. RNAcentral's name for it is "partial 16S ribosomal RNA". It matches the Rfam family "Bacterial small subunit ribosomal RNA", at positions 524 to 776 of the family's 1533-position model. The record is from RNAcentral.
UACAGAGGGGGCAAGCGUUGUUCGGAAUUACUGGGCGUAAAGGGCGCGUAGGCGGCCCGCUAAGUCGAACGUGAAAUCCCCGGGCUCAACCCGGGAACUGCGUCCGAUACUGGCAGGCUUGAAUCCGGGAGAGGGAUGCGGAAUUCCAGGUGUAGCGGUGAAAUGCGUAGAUAUCUGGAGGAACACCGGUGGCGAAGGCGGCAUCCUGGACCGGUAUUGACGCUGAGGCGCAAAAGCCAGGGGAGCAAACGGG